CAUUCUGGUGUGCUUAUGCAAAUGAGGGAUGUAAAUUUGGUGAGUUCUGAUUGGUUGAGGCCUGUUGAUUUCUGAUUGGUCAUAGUCUUGGUUGAUUCAGGCAUCAUAAACAGGAACAGAUAGCUAUGAAAGUCUCAAAGUUAACCAAGCCCAGAGCUUUUACCCUGAAUGCAGAGUACAUGUGUGACCUCUAGGAAGCAAAUGGCUUCUUGGCUCUAUUUUUGAAUUUAGGUCCCAUUAGCCACUCAGAAUCCAUCUUGAAGGACGGAUUAUUUUAGGAUUCACGAUCUCUGGUGAGUCACCUUCUCGCAUUCAUGUCCUUGUGUAGAACCCUCCCAGGUGUAUGACUUCGCUUUGGCCAUUGGGACACCAACCUAUGUGAUGUAAGCAGAGGCUCAAUCGAUAUGUGUGCACCACGGCGAGCCCUCCCACUGCCUAGCAUGUGAUGAGGCCAAGGCAGCCAUGCAGAGAGAUCACCUGGAGAAGAACUGAGAUGUCCCCCAGCCCCACCACAACUGCCAGACACGUGAAUGAGGCAUCAGACCGACUUGCCAUCUGAGGCCUGUUGCUGGCAUCUGACUCUCCCCAAGAACACAAAUCAAUAGUUAACACAGAAACCACACUCUAAAGAGAAGCUGGUUUCAAGAUUGGCUGUUGCUAUUUGCUUUCAAUUGAAUGUAUGUAUAUAGAUAGGUACGUGUUUAUGUAUUUGUUUAUUUGUACCUAAACGUAACAUUUUUCAGUUGUCUUUUGCAGAAGAAACAUAUAUAUCUUGUAUCAUAGAUAUGACUGACUGAGAGAUGGGAACACUUUUACUUUUUCUUUUAUUUUUUUGAGACAGAGUUUUGUUCUGUCACCCGGGCUGGAGUAUAGUGGCAUGAUCUCGGCUCACUGCAACUUCUGCCUCCUGGAUUCAAGCAAUUCUCUUGCCUCAGCCUCCUGAGUAGCUGAGAUUACAGGCAUAUGCCACUAUACCCAGCCAAUUUUUGUAUUUUUUGUAGAGACGAGGUUUCACCAUAUUGGUCAGGCUGGUCUCAAACUCCUGACCUUGUGAUCCACCUGUCUUGACCUCCCAAAGUGCUGGGAUUACAGGCCUGAGCCACUGUGCCCAGUCAGGAACACCGGUUCAAACUAGAUUGG
RNAcentral lists this long non-coding RNA (1140 nucleotides) under Callithrix jacchus (white-tufted-ear marmoset). Its description in RNAcentral is "lncRNA (ENSCJAG00000078409.1)". Lineage: Eukaryota; Metazoa; Chordata; Mammalia; Primates; Cebidae. The record is from RNAcentral.